This is a long non-coding RNA of Etheostoma spectabile (orangethroat darter), 1239 nucleotides long. RefSeq lists it as uncharacterized. The record is from RefSeq and is a predicted model, not a curated record. Lineage: Eukaryota; Metazoa; Chordata; Actinopteri; Perciformes; Percidae. The transcript has 3 exons.
UCCUGCCUCUCAAACGGACGUAAUCAGUGGAUCUGAGAGCCGGGCGCGCAGUCGGUGAAGAGUUGGUCCCGGACGGUAGUGAUGAGAGUGAAAAUACCCAACUGGGGCAGACUUGAAGAAACCGCAUCAGUCCACCUCGAGAGGACACUGAAUCCAGUUGUUUUCCAAGCUGCGGAUGAAGGGGAUUUUGUGUGUUCAUUGGUGCCUCCUGAUGCUCUGCGAUGAAGAUCAUUUUUCUAUGAGAUGCCGUGAAGACCAAUUUUGACGUGAAGAUGAAAGACUUUCAAGCUCCUCUGAUUAACGGUGGUAAGGCAAUAAAGCAGAACCUCUGAAAAGAAUGAAUGAAAAAAACAAAAAAAAACAGAACCAUGCUUGUCCUGUGGACAGUGGACUCAUUCUGCCACUGUCCUGUGUCGUUAUGUCCCUUUGCUGUGCGACCUGUCCUCCGGGGGUUGGAGUGAAGUCCUCGCCUCUGUCCCUGUCCCCCUUUGCUCUGUCCGUCCUCCCUCCUCUACGCCCUGCCUCGUCUUGUCAGCUCGGGUCACAAACCCCCACCCCCUCUCCCCCACCCCGCUCGCCUCGGUGAACAUUCAACGCUGUCGGUGAGUUUUGGUAUGGAUCACAUGAAAACCAUCGACCGUUGACUGUGCCCCGAGGCCGGCUCCGACGACGUCCAAAAGUCCUUGUAGGCGCGUGCAAAAACCCGAGAGACGAAGACAUGGACAAAAAGUGACACUCUGUUUCCACUGUACCCAAAGACCAAAGGUCACAAUCAACAUUCAUUGCUGUCGCUGGGUUGGACUGUGUAGAAAAGCUCACUGAACAAUGAGUGCAACUGUGGCCCAGAUCUGCCCGACUUCGCGUCUCAGCCAGUCAGCCGACCGGAUGCGAAAACGCUUUGAUUUCUUUCAUUUAUAUUACUUCUUGUUUUUCACUUCUAUUUUCUCCCCUCUUCCUCCCUCCCUGGCGCUGCAUAGUCUUCAGGGGGAAGAGAGAGAGAGAUAGAGACAUAAAUAGACUUCUGGCGGCUUGCUUGUCCUCGUCCUCCUCUCCUCUAAUUGGUGGUUAUGUGUGCAGCAAGGGGGAAGGAAGCGGAGUGAAUGUGUAAUCAUUUGGAGUCUCUUCUCCUUCAUCCCUCUCUCUUUUUUGUUUGUCUAAUUAUACACUAAGCUCUGUUAACUCUGUGUUAACUGUGCUGGCAAGAAUGAGCGAGUGACAAAGAAAGGGAGGACAAUGGGG